Molecule: long non-coding RNA, 1107 nt
Organism: Talpa occidentalis (Iberian mole)
Lineage: Eukaryota; Metazoa; Chordata; Mammalia; Eulipotyphla; Talpidae
Exons: 5
Source: RefSeq, a predicted model, not a curated record
GGGCAGAGGGUCAAGCUGGGGUGGGAGAAGGGAGAAAUCUUUGUUUCGGGUUUCAACUACGUUCGGGAAAAGGGAAGGCAAAAUGAUGAAUGGAAGGCGUGAGUGCUGGAAAGGAAAAUGUGAAUGAGUCUCCUUAGUUCCCUCCAGCAUGGAGCCACCCGGUUACUAAUUUCCAAGCUCUGCGGGAAACUGGACAUUACUUUAAUUCACAUAUUGCCAUUCUCACUGCCAGAUGUCACAAAUACGACUCACAGAUCGGCUGGAGGGGUAGUUGUCUUCCACUUUUUGCUUGGAAAGCCCCCGCCCCAGAAAUGGCUGAAAGGGUAGAAGCAUAGUCUGGGCAUUGUGACGCUGGCAGGCCUCGUAUGUCAGGUCUUUUAGGAACCCUGUGUCAUUUACAGACUUACUGGCCACUUGUGUGUUAGACUUACCCAUGGUCGUGUCCCAAAGCCAUCAACCUUUAAGAAACAAGAACAAAACUUGCCAAUGAAACCCUGCCUAGGUCUCACCCUUAUUUCUCUUCAUGCCUCACACUGCUUCGCCUGGGGCAUUCAUACAUCAAUCCAGUAUUUACUGAGCACUUUACUGUGAGUCAGGCAUGGUUUCAGAUGUUCAGUGUAUAGUGAUGAACACAACAAGUUUCCUGAAUGGGUCAAGCCAGGUCCAGUCUGGCCAGCGGAGUGCAGCCCCAGGGAAUCUGAGACAUAAACAUCAGGAGGUUGGGCUAAGUCUGUGAUUCUCAAAAAGUGGUCUUCAGACUGGCUGCAUCAUCUGGUAGCUCAAGGGAGGUGUGAAUUCUUAGGCCCCACCCUGAAUGGAAUGAAUCGAAAACUGGGGGUGCGACCCUGCAAUCUGUGCCUCCUGCAGCCUUCACCUUUAACGGAGUGAAAAGAUAACAGCAACCUGGGGGAAAGUAUUUGCAACAUAUAUAACUGGCGUAUGAAGAAUAUGAAUGUAUGAAGCAUUCCAAUAAUCAAGAAGAAAGAAACAUCCAAUGGACAAAUGGACAAAGACAUAAACAGGCAUAGGCAUGUACAGGGUAAAAAAGGGCUAAGGGACAAGUGAAAGAUCGCUCAAACUGUGCCUUGCAAAAUGAAAAUAAAAUCC